This 429-nucleotide ribosomal RNA is filed under the name Acidobacteriota bacterium. RNAcentral's name for it is "Acidobacteria bacterium partial 16S ribosomal RNA". It matches the Rfam family "Bacterial small subunit ribosomal RNA", at positions 355 to 776 of the family's 1533-position model. Lineage: Bacteria; Pseudomonadati; Acidobacteriota. The record is from RNAcentral.
UGGGGAAUUUUGGACAAUGGGGGAAACCCUGAUCCAGCCAUCCCGCGUGUGCGAUGAAGGCCUUCGGGUUGUAAAGCACUUUUGGCAGGAAAGAAACGUCAUGGGUUAAUACCCCGUGAAACUGACGGUACCUGCAGAAUAAGCACCGGCUAACUACGUGCCAGCAGCCGCGGUAAUACGUAGGGUGCAAGCGUUAAUCGGAAUUACUGGGCGUAAAGCGUGCGCAGGCGGUUCGGAAAGAAAGAUGUGAAAUCCCAGAGCUCAACUUUGGAACUGCAUUUUUAACUACCGGGCUAGAGUGUGUCAGAGGGAGGUGGAAUUCCGCGUGUAGCAGUGAAAUGCGUAGAAAUGCGGAGGAACACCGAUGGCGAAGGCAGCCUCCUGGGAUAACACUGACGCUCAUGCACGAAAGCGUGGGGAGCAAACAGG